GCAUCCGUAACUCAGUGGAUAGAGUGCCGGCCUCCGAAGCCGUUGGUCGCGGGUUCAACUCCCGCCGGGUGCA
This 73-nucleotide transfer RNA is filed under the name Lachnospiraceae bacterium. Its description in RNAcentral is "tRNA-Arg". It matches the Rfam family "tRNA". From Rfam's summary of the family: Transfer RNA (tRNA) molecules are approximately 80 nucleotides in length. Their secondary structure includes four short double-helical elements and three loops (D, anti-codon, and T loops). Further hydrogen bonds mediate the characteristic L-shaped molecular structure. tRNAs have two regions of fundamental functional importance: the anti-codon, which is responsible for specific mRNA codon recognition, and the 3' end, to which the tRNAs corresponding amino acid is attached (by aminoacyl-tRNA synthetases). tRNAs cope with the degeneracy of the genetic code in two manners: having more than one tRNA (with a specific anti-codon) for a particular amino acid; and 'wobble' base-pairing, i.e. permitting non-standard base-pairing at the 3rd anti-codon position. Lineage: Bacteria; Bacillati; Bacillota; Clostridia; Lachnospirales; Lachnospiraceae. The record is from RNAcentral.